CAAAAUGUUACAGGGAUAUCUGCACUUUGAGGCAAUGUGCGAUCACAAGUACAACUUUACCUGUGACAUCUGUGGCCGUUUUCCAUGUUGCCUGGUGACAGAUGCAAAUAGGAAAUGUGCAUUUCCAUUAGCAUUGUCACAAGUACCAGGGACAGAAACAGCUACAGAUGGAAUCAACAUGGAUGUGUUUUGGAGCCAAACGGUGGAGGCGUCUAUUUUACUUCGAGGUUUUGGAAAAGAAGCAGCCAACGUCGGGCGUGUUACACCUAGUUAUGACAACUGGGCUC
Long non-coding RNA from Haliotis rufescens (red abalone), 287 nucleotides. RefSeq lists it as uncharacterized. Lineage: Eukaryota; Metazoa; Mollusca; Gastropoda; Lepetellida; Haliotidae. The record is from RefSeq and is a predicted model, not a curated record. The transcript has 3 exons.